CUGUCAGCAUUUGAACACAUUGAUGAGUAUUUCCCAAGAGAAAAGGCUGAUUUCUCCUGGAAGAAUGAGAAAUAUUGAGGAACUGAAGGAUGUGUUUAUGUUUUACGGAGAAUUAGCAGAGGCACAAGAUGAGGCACAGAAAGUGACCUGAUAUUCUUAUCUGGAAAGGCUGGAAGAGGGUGUCCAUCGAUACAGAAAUCAUCCAACAGAGAUGAACUCUAAACUUAUGAACUCUCAUAGAACUCUAUGAUCCAUCAACUUCAAG
Molecule: long non-coding RNA, 265 nt
Organism: Neofelis nebulosa (Clouded leopard)
Lineage: Eukaryota; Metazoa; Chordata; Mammalia; Carnivora; Felidae
Exons: 3
Source: RefSeq, a predicted model, not a curated record